UUGCUAUGUGGGAUUGAACCCAAUGCCCUACAUCAUUGGCGAUUCCCUGAGUUUUCUUUCAGUUCUUAGCCAAUUCAAAGUCCAUUCCUAGUGACCAUGUGACUGUGGUCCCUGCUUCUUUCUCCACUUUUACAUCCUUAUGGAAACUUGUGUCAUGCUCAAACCAAAACUAAGCCAUGGAAUUUGCCCAUUACACAGGAUGGCUGUGUGGCUAGUGAAAGGGUCGAGUCAAUAAAAGGAACUCAGCAUGCUCACUAAACAAGGCCAGUGCACAUCUUUUCCAAAUCCACCACUAUUUUAUUCUUUUCAAAUAUCUUAGUUCUCCUUCAGAGUCAUGACAGCGGAGGCAACAGCAAGAAGUCCUUGAUGAGGUUUUAAAUAGCCCAAACCAAAAUCUACGUAAACAUGUGCAUAUAAAUCUUAAACACAAAUCUGAUUGCAAGAGUUUUAAACAGCCAGA
RNAcentral lists this long non-coding RNA (460 nucleotides) under Phaseolus vulgaris (common bean). Its description in RNAcentral is "long non-coding RNA (PVUL_LNC004576)". The record is from RNAcentral. Lineage: Eukaryota; Viridiplantae; Streptophyta; Magnoliopsida; Fabales; Fabaceae.